This is a long non-coding RNA of Gadus morhua (Atlantic cod), 266 nucleotides long. RefSeq lists it as uncharacterized. The record is from RefSeq and is a predicted model, not a curated record. The transcript has 3 exons. Lineage: Eukaryota; Metazoa; Chordata; Actinopteri; Gadiformes; Gadidae.
UGGCCGUUUCUGAAAUGGCAUACUACAUACUGCUCGUAUACUGAUCGUGACGUAAAAGUAUAUACAUCCAGAGCUCACUACGUCGGAUACUGUAUCCCAUAAUGCAACGCGGCACCGUUGGAAAAAAAACGUUGAACAUUUCGAAUAAUGGCGGCGGAAAAUGCGAGCGAUGAAUAUAAAUGGACUGAUGUAGACACCGCAGCUCUCAUCAGUUGGAGAUCUACGAAUGAGGGCAUGUUCACGGGCAGGAGGAAUGCGGCGCAGAU